RNAcentral lists this ribosomal RNA (286 nucleotides) under Acinetobacter sp. Its description in RNAcentral is "partial 16S ribosomal RNA". It matches the Rfam family "Bacterial small subunit ribosomal RNA", at positions 306 to 586 of the family's 1533-position model. Lineage: Bacteria; Pseudomonadati; Pseudomonadota; Gammaproteobacteria; Moraxellales; Moraxellaceae. The record is from RNAcentral.
CGCCACACUGGGACUGAGACACGGCCCAGACUCCUACGGGAGGCAGCAGUGGGGAAUAUUGGACAAUGGGCGCAAGCCUGAUCCAGCCAUGCCGCGUGUGUGAAGAAGGCCUUUUGGUUGUAAAGCACUUUAAGCGAGGAGGAGGCUCUCUUAGUUAAUACUAGAUAGUGGACGUUACUCGCAGAAUAAGCACCGGCUAACUCUGUGCCAGCAGCCGCGGUAAUACAGAGGGUGCGAGCGUUAAUCGGAUUUACUGGGCGUAAAGCGUGCGUAGGCGGCUUUUUAA